GAAAAGGAGAGAAAAGUUUCCUGGAGUCUUCAUUAGUUGACUUCCCCGUCCAGAGCUUCUCUCAGCCGGCCGAACUCGCCCCCAAUAAAGGAAUGAGGAGGGUCUUUAUUUUUUUAAGGUCUCAUACAAUUCAGUGUUUACAAGACCAGAAAUACCACUGCCUCGUCCUUCUGGAGAGAAAGGCUGAGAGAGAGGACCGCCGCCUUCCUUAUAAGCUCAUUGGAGUCUGAGCCAGCCCUGACCUGGUAGAAAAAGCAACCGUGAAGCGGGGCAGAGAGAGCUGGAAGAAGAAAGAGAGCAUCAGACUGAGAUGAAAGGGAACCACUCAAAGAAAUGCAGGGAAAUGAGCGACGCGGCAGGUCCCGAACAAACGUUACAGAGGGCAAGACAGGCACUCACUCACGGACAGAGGUUUAUGUAUUUUUAAUUUUUAAAUCUGAUUUUGGGCUAAACAAGGAAAAGGGAAAAUUCAGGGGAGGCGGGGCGGGGGGAGCGGUUAUCUCGGUUCUUGCUCGCAGCAUUAACACCUCAGGAGGAAAGAAGCUAUCUAAACACGGGUGGGCGCGGGGCAGCUCCGGGGAAACAGCUUUGCGCUGCUCACACACUGCAGGGUUGGGCCCUGGAAGCCCCCCCUCGCGGCCGCGGAGCUUCCUUGCUCCUCUUAUCAUCUCCAUCUUUAUGACGAGGCUUGUUAACAAGACCAGCGAGCUGGCCACGCACAUCUAUCUCAGCCGCGUGAGCUCAGCCGCUCACCCGAGCCCUGGCCGGCGGGGGGACUGGGAGGCGCUAAUUAAUUGAUUCCUUUGGACUGUAAAAUAUGGCCACGUCUACACGGAACCGUGGACUCAUAAACAAUAUCUCUGCUGGAUGUGACAACACUGUCUUUCAAAGAAUUUUUCCAUAGAACCCUGGAUGGGACUGCAGGAGGGACCAGGACAGAUGAAGAAUGGGACUGGAGUCUCAGAGCCUUCAGAGCCUUCUCCAUCGAACCUGGGCACUGAGGGCUCCAGGAGCAGUCCAGGCUCCCGCGUCAUCCACCAGCUGCCGACCAGCCUUUGUCUCCGGGCUUCCCCUAGAGCAGCAGCCGCGAAGCAGAGCGCGGGCCUGCAGCGGCCCUGGCAUAGCCACUAGCUCCUCCCCCAGGUCAUGGCUAUAAGAAGUGAACAUCCUCAUGCUUCUCCUGCACUCUCUCAGGCCUUUGUAUGAGUACUCCCAAGGCUUAGUCUAAUUCCUGCCUGUACCCACUAGGUCUGCAAAGCAGCUGAUGAUUAGGAAUAAAGGGAAAGUGAGAUGUGUUCUAAAUUUGCUAGUAUAUCUGAUUGCAAGAAUAAAG
Heterocephalus glaber (naked mole-rat) is the source of this 1333-nucleotide non-coding RNA. The record is from RefSeq and is a predicted model, not a curated record. Lineage: Eukaryota; Metazoa; Chordata; Mammalia; Rodentia; Bathyergidae.